Molecule: ribosomal RNA, 255 nt
Filed under: uncultured bacterium
Lineage: Bacteria
Description: partial 16S ribosomal RNA
Rfam family: Bacterial small subunit ribosomal RNA
Source: RNAcentral
UACGUAGGGUGCAAGCGUUGUCCGGAUUUAUUGGGCGUAAAGAGCUCGUAGGCGGCUUGGCAAGUCAGGUGUGAAAACUUCAGGCUCAACCUGGAGAUGCCACCUGAUACUGCUAUGGCUAGAGUCCGGUAGGGGACCACGGAAUUCCUGGUGUAGCGGUGAAAUGCGCAGAUAUCAGGAAGAACACCCGUGGCUAAGGCGGCUCCUCUAGUACGGUACUGACGCUGAGACGCGAAAGCGUGGGGAGCGAACAGG